This 261-nucleotide ribosomal RNA is filed under the name uncultured bacterium. RNAcentral's name for it is "partial 16S ribosomal RNA". It matches the Rfam family "Bacterial small subunit ribosomal RNA", at positions 96 to 353 of the family's 1533-position model. The record is from RNAcentral.
UGGCGAACGGGUGAGUAACACGUGAGGAACCUGCCUCAAAGAGGGGGACAACAGUUGGAAACGACUGCUAAUACCGCAUAAGCCCACGGGUCGGCAUCGACCAGAGGGAAAAGGAGCAAUCCGCUUUGAGAUGGCCUCGCGUCCGAUUAGCUGGUUGGUGAGGUAACAGCCCACCAAGGCGACGAUCGGUAGCCGGACUGAGAGGUUGAACGGCCACAUUGGGACUGAGACACGGCCCAGACUCCUACGGGAGGCAGCAUG